This 248-nucleotide ribosomal RNA is filed under the name uncultured Lachnospiraceae bacterium. RNAcentral's name for it is "partial 16S ribosomal RNA". It matches the Rfam family "Bacterial small subunit ribosomal RNA", at positions 524 to 771 of the family's 1533-position model. Lineage: Bacteria; Bacillati; Bacillota; Clostridia; Lachnospirales; Lachnospiraceae. The record is from RNAcentral.
UACGGAGGAUGCGAGCGUUAUCCGGAAUUACUGGGUGUAAAGGGGGCGCAGACGGCAGCGCAAGCCAGGAGUGAAAGCCCGGGGCCCAACCCCGGGACUGCUCUGGAAACUGUUAAACUGGAGUGCAGGAGAGGCAGGCGGAAUUCCUAGUGUAGCGGUGAAAUGCGUAGAUAUCACGAAGAACUCCGAUUGCGAAGGCAGCCUACCGUAGCGUUACUGACGCUGAGGCUCGAAGGUGCGGGUAUCGA